This 68-nucleotide transfer RNA is filed under the name Cercopithecus albogularis moloneyi. RNAcentral's name for it is "tRNA-Thr". The record is from RNAcentral. Lineage: Eukaryota; Metazoa; Chordata; Mammalia; Primates; Cercopithecidae.
GCCCUUGUAGUAUAAAUUAAUCACGCUAGCCUUGUAAACUAGAAAUGGAACCCAUAUCCCCUAGGGCA